This 406-nucleotide ribosomal RNA is filed under the name uncultured bacterium. Its description in RNAcentral is "partial 16S ribosomal RNA". It matches the Rfam family "Bacterial small subunit ribosomal RNA", at positions 30 to 526 of the family's 1533-position model. The record is from RNAcentral.
AUUGAACGCUGGCGGCCGGCCUAACACAUGCAAGUCGAGCGAGCGGCGGACGGGUGAGUAAUGUCUGGGAAACUGCCUGACGGCGGGGGAUAACUACUGGAAACGGUAGCUAAUACCGCAUACCAUCAGAUGUGCCCAGAUUGGUUUAGCUAGUAGGUGGGGUAAUGGCUCACCUAGUCGACGAUCCCUAGCUGGUCUGAGAGGAUGACCAGCCACACUGGAACUGAGACACGUUCCAGACUCCUACGGGAGGCAGCAGUGGGGAAUAUUGCACAAUGGGCGCGAGCCUGAUGCAGCCAUGCCGCGUGUGUGAAGAAGGCCUGCGGGUUGUAAAGCACUUUCAGCGAGGAGGCGUUACUCGCAGAAGAAGCACCGGCUAACUCCGUGCCAGCAGCCGCGGUAAUAC